AAUUCAUUUCAUCCAGCCGCUCUCCUUUCUCUGCAAACCCUAAUCUCUGGUGAUUUUCAACUUAGGGUUUCUUACCUCCUGUAGUAUGAGCAAGAUCUCACCAGAUCCAACAACUAUGUGGUCUGUAAUAGUGGUCGAGGCAAGUUCCAACAACCCGAGAUCUAGGUGUCGGUAAGGCGGCAACGUGAGAAGGAGGUCGCUGCUAUGACUCAUACAGUGGCAGGGGAUGAGGAUGAUUAUAGAUCUACUCCUUGGAAAGAUGAAGUAACCAGGACCACACGUGUUGAGGAAUUUUGUUUCAUCACAUAUACUACUUACACAAAAUCAGAGGUUCUGAAAAUGGAAAGUCAAGUUCUGAACAUUUUGAAUUUUCACCCUUCACCACCAACAGCAGAAGCUUUUUUCGGGAGAUUCAUAAGAGCAACACAGGCUUCCCACCAGGUUCUUUGUGUUCGAAUCUCUUUUACAUUUGCUGUUACAUAUUUGGUAUGUUUUCAUUUACUUUCACCCUGGUUUGUUGGAUUACUUUUACUUAUUCAUUCGACUCACUUAACCCGUUUCAUUUUUAAAUAACUUUCUGGGUUCGAGCCAUUCAACCAAAUUGAUAACGUAUUUAAAGUGGUCCAUUUUGACCCAAACUCAUUUUGCUUUGAGUACGUUUUAACCAGGACCUACUUUGACCCAUCACUCAACCCGACCAUCCCGUUUCGCCAGAUUUUAGAAGGAUGACCACACGUAAAGAUGAAAUUGGAGAAAAAGAGAUCACCGUCAAUGGAUAAAAUUAUGAAGUAUGGACAAACUUAGAUCAGCUAAAAAAAGCACAAGAAAUGAGACGUGUGGAGGAUGGACUUUGAGGAGUUCUGUGCAGCUGCCCUUUGUGUCCAUCAACUCGAGGGUCUUGAUCAACGGGAAAGGCAGAGCCGUGACGCCUAUGAAAUAUUUGAGAAAGACGGUAACAGACCUAUUGUACAUGAAGAACUAGCUUAUUUGGGAUCUGCGGAACUCUUUAUGAAGGAAUCAAAGUUUUUAAUACAUGGAAGCGGUAAAGACAAUCCCUUGGCGGUACUUCACCACCGACUAGCGCCUAGCGCCUUCUACAACAUUGAAUCCUCCAACGGGAUUCGUGUUUGAAAAGCAACAAAUGCGAGGAUUAUAUUUCAGUCAAUCUCCCGCAAAGGAGGAACAACGAUUCAAUGCUUGCAACUGUUGAAUCAACAAAACUAGAUUAUGAAUGGAGGAACGACUGAACAAAACAUGUUGGAGCUGACUCAUUCGCAUUGGCGAAGGGAUCCGGUUUGUAAGGUGCGGUGUCUUGGCGUUCCGACUGUCGACAUGCGAAACCUCUGCCGCAUUCUGUAGUUGAAAUGAAAGGAGAAGACUGGUGGUAAGAUUCUUCUUAGGACUGGUGGUGUGUUGUAUCUUUUUCGGGGUAGACAUUAUGAUCCGCACAACAGGCCGAAAUACCAUGUGAUUCUGUGGAAGCCUGCAACUCCGGUUUACCCUAAGCUUAUACAAGAAUCACCAGAAGGGUUGACGAAAGAAGAAGCUGAUGAGUUGAGAAUGAAAGGGAAAAAACUCCCCCCGAUUUGUAGACUAGGUAAGAACGGUUGGAGAGUAGAAAUGUCUCACAACUCUAGAGGAUCUGGCAGUGGCGGAGGGCGUGGUGGAGGUCAUGGUCGCUCUGGUGGUUCUGAUUUGAAAUGCUACCAGUGUGGUGACGUUGGCCAGUUUGCUCGUGAGUGUUGUGGUGGUGGUGGUGGUGGUAGACGCCGCAGCCGCAGCCGUAGCCCAGUCAACAGGUACCGACGGAGUCCUAGCUACGGUCAGAGGAGCUACAGUCCUCGUGGCCGAUCACCGCCACGCCGUAGGGUGUCACCUCCUCGCAAGAUUAACUACAGCAGGUCACCUCCGCAUCGUGGAUGAGACGAGUUGCCAUACACAAACGACGUGUUUUAUUUCUGUUUCUUUUUGAAAGUAUAUGUAAUUCAAAUGUGUUAGUUUGAGUCUGAGAUGGAAAUGCUCAAUAUGGUAUGUUGCUUUGAGACAAACAACAUAAAUACUUAUGGGUUGCCGCGGACAAUCCCAGUAGUUUAUUUUGAGGAGACUGGUAAAAAUAAAAAAACAAAAUUAA
This is a long non-coding RNA of Helianthus annuus (common sunflower), 2131 nucleotides long. RefSeq lists it as uncharacterized. The transcript has 12 exons. The record is from RefSeq and is a predicted model, not a curated record. NCBI's taxonomy places the organism in Eukaryota, Viridiplantae, Streptophyta, Magnoliopsida, Asterales, Asteraceae.